CACGGGGGGAGCAAGCGUUGUCCGGAAUCAUUGGGCGUAAAGAGCUCGUAGGCGGCUCAGUAAGUCGGGCGUGAAACCCCCAGGCUCAACCUGGGGACGCCACCCGAUACUGCUGUGGCUAGAGUCCAGUAGGGGAGUGUGGAAUUCCCGGUGUAGCGGUGAAAUGCGCAGAUAUCGGGAGGAACACCAGCGGCGAAGGCGGCACUCUGGGCUGGAACUGACGCUGAGGAGCGAAAGCAUGGGGAGCGAACAGG
Molecule: ribosomal RNA, 254 nt
Filed under: uncultured bacterium
Lineage: Bacteria
Description: partial 16S ribosomal RNA
Rfam family: Bacterial small subunit ribosomal RNA
Source: RNAcentral